UCCAGCUUAUCGCUGGCGGUCUCCUGCGAGUGCCGCCUUGCGGCAUGGCAACACAGGACAAGGGUUGCGCUCGUUGCGGGACUUAACCCAACAUCUCACGACACGAGCUGACGACAGCCAUGCAGCACCUCGACUCCACCCCCUUGCGGGGUACCGAUAUUUCUACCGGCGUUGAGAAGCCGUUCGAGCCCAGGUAAGGUUCUUCGCGUUGCGUCGAAUUAAACCACAUGCUCCACCGCUUGUGCGGGCCCCCGUCAAUUCCUUUGAGUUUCAGCCUUGCGACUGUACUCCCCAGGCGGCAUAUUUAACGCGUUAGCUCCGGCACGGACAGAAUGAACUGCCCACACCAAAUAUGCAUCGUUUAGGGCGUGGACUAC
This 377-nucleotide unclassified non-coding RNA is filed under the name uncultured Bryobacterales bacterium. Its description in RNAcentral is "contains 16S-23S intergenic spacer region". Lineage: Bacteria; Pseudomonadati; Acidobacteriota; Terriglobia; Bryobacterales. The record is from RNAcentral.